CAUUUAUCGGUUAGAAAGACAGCAUGAAAAGUUCGCGUGUGUGCUUCUCGACAACUCCUUUUUGUUAGUUAUUUGCAGGCAUUCCCCGUACUGUGAAAUCAUACGAAGGGAGUUUCAGAGUGAUGAUCCAAAUGUUUGCGGUCUACAGCGCAACGCUGAAAGUUACGAUCCUGCUGUUGGUGAUCUACUCUACAAGCUGGAGUCAGUCACGGCAUCAAAGGAAUGAAGGUAAACUCUGUUUCCAAUGCUUUGAAAUAUUUUCAUGUAUGCCAACCUGGUCUCCCACCUUGUCAUAUUUGAGGGUGUCUUGGAAUAUGAUGUUGCACUCUACUUGAAGUAUUUCAUUAAGAAAAAAAAAAGGUUAACAUACUCAGAUUUGAACCGGUGCAUCAAGCAAUUCAAGUACAAAGGAUCUGAUACUAACAAAUCCUCAACUCUGAGGUGCCCAGACUUUCCGGUCAGGCCAUUCAGAAGUGGAAUUGCUUGAGGUUGCUGCCUGGUGACAAAGUGUGUAACUGGUGACCAAGUGCAAAAUCCAGAAGAUGUGUAGCAGUUAACUCUCAAGCUUAAAUAUAUUGUUUGGUUGUCACACAUAUAUGAUAUCAAGACAUCAAAGAGAUGUUGCUGCUUCUGCUACAGAGGACUCAUGCCUGGCAGGACAGGUGCAGAUGGACCAAGUUCCCUUGACCCCCACUAUUCUUGUGUGUGACUGUGGUUUCAAACCGCCAGAUUGAUAACAACAAGGAGAUGUUCACGGCUAUGCAAAUGAAAUUGGAUCGAAUUGAAGACCUGCUACAAAAAGUUCUUACAAAAAUGGGAUAAAAGGUCUCAAGAGUAGAGGCGCAAAUUGAAUGCAGCUACUUGCAAGACCAAACAAUCCCAAUCUUUUCUGCUUUCGGCUCCCUCAACCGGAACGGGCCUUGGCCAAGCCCGUUGCUGGAAAAACAACUCCCCUGAAGAUUGCUGCAGUGAGACUCUCUCUCAUUCCCUUCCCCCUUUCCACAGACACCUGUGGAUUGUUGUCUCUGUCCAGGACCCUUUCAAGGCUGUCUCCAUGGCAACGACAAUCUUGCGAACUGAGAAUCUGUCUGAUUGUGGCCUGGGGGAAGGAACAACCCAGGCCUACUCAUACAUGAACUUUGACAUACAUACAUGAACUUUGCAUACAUAUACACGUACAUACUACACACAGAUAUGCAUCCACUCCCCCACCCCCCAUCCCACGCCUUCGCCUCGUCUGCUUCGUACCCCCCAGUAUGACAAGACAGGGUCUGUGACUGGCGCCUCAACGGGCUGCUGGGCCAGCUGGCUGCUUGUCUGUGCUGGCUUACCUUCUCCCCCCCACUGGCUGGGCUUAGAUCACCCAGUC
Long non-coding RNA from Clupea harengus (Atlantic herring), 1369 nucleotides. RefSeq lists it as uncharacterized. The record is from RefSeq and is a predicted model, not a curated record. The transcript has 3 exons. NCBI's taxonomy places the organism in Eukaryota, Metazoa, Chordata, Actinopteri, Clupeiformes, Clupeidae.